CAUCGUUCCCACAUGCAAGGGGAGUCAAGGUUAUCUGCUGUGAUCAUCCUUAAUUAUUUUCGGCGUAAGAGUUACCAAUUCCAAAUCCUUUCUCUUAAUUUCUUUUUAAACUGCUACCGAUUAAGGUUUUUGAGUUUUCCUUUAACAGGUCAUUUUUAGAUCUGUCGUCAGGAAACUUCCCUUCCAAAAGACAAGAGACUUGGCCAGAUUAUUUAUUAUCCGCUCCGCGUUCGAUCUUGAUCAUGACCGUCGGAAAUCUGAGAAAGGCUCAACGAUCUUACAGUCUUCAAUGUUGGUAUCACUCAAGCUCACUGACUAAAUCACUUCCAAUUGCAAUUUUGCAACUUCUGAUGGUGACGGCAGUGAGUGGAUUAUGGGGAGGUGAUCCCGGACACACGCAAUCACUCGGUUCCGCCGCAUUUAGUAAAGGUGACGUUCUGAUCACAAAAGAUGGACAAAACCAGCUAUUGGCUGCAAUCAGUACCAAGGACUUUGUCAUGGCUAAAAAGAGCGGCAACGAAGUUGAAAUUUUUACGACGCAGCCUCAAAGUUCACGAACUCCGGUCCAAAAUAUUCCAGUGAAGGUGCAACCCGGAUGGAAUGGGGAUAAACGAGUAGCUUUAGCCAUGAAACUCUCCGGAAAAAUGUAUCCCUACAAUUCGAUAUCGUGCAACGAAAAUGACUACAUGAAGUACAUAGUGUAUGGUAAAACUAACCAGCCUCUGACGGGCAAUUCAGCUUGUCCGCUCAGAAGGGAUUUGUCAACGGUGAGCAUCGCAGAAAUCAGGUCGCCUGGUUUUUACUUGGAGAGCAAAAAUAAGCGCGUCAUAGUGGACCAACUGCCCAAGGCUUCGGCUGGGUGAUGUCACUACAACGAGUAUAGCAGUUAGCAGUGUCACUACGCAGUUUAGUUUUUACUACAUAUGAUAUAUUGAUGUUCCGCAGCCCGUGACAAGAUAUACAAUAAUAACAAUUUAAACGGCGGGCAGUAGGGCUAAUUUUUACAUAAAUACCGCCAAAACGUUUCGGCUGAAAACUCAGCCUUCUUCAGUUCGAUUAAAACAGUAAACUUUUUUAAAUCUAAAAUCUUAGUGCUUGGCUGUACCUUUUAAAGCGAGAAAACAAAAAGCACAGCCACGUACUAAGUUUCCAAAUUCUUAAAAGGUUUUUACUGUACGGUUUUGGCGGUAUUUAUGUGAAAAUUAGCCUUACUACCCGCUGUUUAAAUUGUUAUUAUUGUUUUUAAUACAGUUUCAUGGAGCUUCCGCCGAGAAAAAUAUUUGGGGGUUAAGUCCCAACUGUUGAAUGAUAUGGACAUUUCCAAUCAAUUGUGCUAGUGCACCGAUGAAUUGGGUUACUAACCCAAAUGUUGCGGUACUGCAAAAAGUAUUUGGAAAUGCCCAUAUCAUCGAACGAAUUGGGGUAGUACCACAAUUUUAGCGGAUAACCCCUUAUUUUUUCCCCCGUGUACUUUAUAUGUGUCUUUUCUCGUUAGUACGUUUUUUUUUUCUUUUCGAGCUACGAAUAGGAAAUAAAUUUUGUGUAGCUAAAAAAUAUAAAAAUUCGGUAUUAAAGAAAUAACUUCUUCUGGCGAAGAAUUGAUUCAUAAAGUCCUGAAAUUGAAAGUUUCUACCAUUGCCCUGAUAUCAAUGAAGGGUCUCUCUUUGUCUCUGUUUCUAACUAAAAAUUAAAUUUCUGUCUAAUACUUGAUAAGUUUUUCAGAGAGUAACUACAGUCUUUGCGCUUACUUUUGCUGGCCAAAUCUGUCCUGCUAACGAUAAAUGUCGUAGGAGCCUUCAAACGUUGCCGAAUUUCACUCGAUAAAAUAAGAUAAUUUUCUGAUGAUUUGAUUCGCUAUUUGACCAAAAAUGUCUGAAAAUUGCAAAGAAAAAGAUUUAGAACUUUCCUCAAAAUGGAUGUAUUAUACGAAGAUAAUUUGCAACAUCUGAAUGUUCAUACGGCUUUUCUCUUUACCACGGCAGAGAUAACUUAGUUUCGGAUUAUCCGCGAUUUUUAGUUAUCCACGUUAGCUCUGGUCCCAACUAUAACGCGUAUAAUCGAGACUCGACCAUAGGUACCUCUUGGCAGCCAAAUAAUUUGGAGGUUGAUAACGAAAUACGUAAAACCUGUGUUAUGGUUGCAUUACGGGGGAGGGAAGAGAUCUAACACUGCGUUACGGGGGAGAAAAGAGUUCAGGGCCUCGUUAUGUAAGAUUUGACGCGCUGUAUAUUUUCAACUUCUUUUAAAGAGGAAUUCUUAUUAUUUUGCUUCUUAAAAUUUCAUUUUAAUAUUAAACCUUAUUACAUUUUCUCCUUUGUCUAAUGAUUUCCUUUCCUCUUUUAAUUGCAACAAUAAAGAAAUUUCGAACCCAUUAUUUUGACUACAUUUACCUCU
RNAcentral lists this long non-coding RNA (2394 nucleotides) under Bemisia tabaci. Its description in RNAcentral is "lncRNA ENSSSA2NGG011706". The record is from RNAcentral. Lineage: Eukaryota; Metazoa; Arthropoda; Insecta; Hemiptera; Aleyrodidae.